AUUGAACGCUGGCGGCAUGCCUUACACAUGCAAGUCGAACGGCAGCACGGGUGCUUGCACCUGGUGGCGAGUGGCGAACGGGUGAGUAAUACAUCGGAACAUGUCCUGUAGUGGGGGAUAGCCCGGCGAAAGCCGGAUUAAUACCGCAUACGAUCUACGGAUGAAAGCGGGGGACCUUCGGGCCUCGCGCUAUAGGGUUGGCCGAUGGCUAAUUAGCUAGUUGGUGGGGUAAAGGCCUACCAAGGCGACGAUCAGUAGCUGGUCUGAGAGGACGACCAGCCACACUGGGACUGAGACACGGCCCAGACUCCUACGGGAGGCAGCAGUGGGGAAUUUUGGACAAUGGGCGAAAGCCUGAUCCAGCAAUGCCGCGUGUGUGAAGAAGGCCUUCGGGUUGUAAAGCACUUUUGUCCGGAAAGAAAUCCUUGGCCCUAAUACGGUCGGGGGAUGACGGUACCGGAAGAAUAAGCACCAGCUAACUACGUG
This 486-nucleotide ribosomal RNA is filed under the name uncultured bacterium. RNAcentral's name for it is "partial 16S ribosomal RNA". It matches the Rfam family "Bacterial small subunit ribosomal RNA", at positions 30 to 507 of the family's 1533-position model. The record is from RNAcentral.